Molecule: ribosomal RNA, 426 nt
Filed under: uncultured bacterium
Lineage: Bacteria
Description: bacterial SSU rRNA
Rfam family: Bacterial small subunit ribosomal RNA
Source: RNAcentral
GACGAACGCUGGCGGCGUGCUUAACACAUGCAAGUCGAACGGAGCGCCAUGGAAUGAGGUUUCGGCCAAAGGAAAUGGUUGCUUAGUGGCGGACUGGUGAGUAACGCGUGAGGAACCUGCCUUUCAGAGGGGGACAACAGUUGGAAACGACUGCUAAUACCGAAUACGCUUGGGAGACCGCAUGAUCUACCAAGGAAAGGGUGGCCUCUACCUGUAAGCUAUCGCCUGAAGAGGGGUUUGCGUCUGAUUAGGCAGUUGGUGAGGUAACGGCCCACCAAACCUACGAUCAGUAGCCGGUCUGAGAGGAUGAACGGCCACACUGGAACUGAGACACGGUCCAGACUCCUACGGGAGGCAGCAGUGGGGAAUCUUCCGCAAUGGGCGAAAAGCCUGACGGAGCAAACGCCGCGUGAGUGAUGACGGCCU